RNAcentral lists this transfer RNA (72 nucleotides) under Stenocercus marmoratus. RNAcentral describes it as "tRNA-Trp". Lineage: Eukaryota; Metazoa; Chordata; Lepidosauria; Squamata; Tropiduridae. The record is from RNAcentral.
AGAAACUUAGGAUAACCCACUAAACCAAGGGCCUUCAAAGCCCAAAACAGNGNAGGAACCCNCCUAGUUUCU